AGUGAACGCUGGCGGUAGGCCUAACACAUGCAAGUCGAACGGCAGCACAGUAAGAGCUUGCUCUUACGGGUGGCGAGUGGCGGACGGGUGAGGAAUACAUCGGAAUCUACUUUUUCGUGGGGGAUAACGUAGGGAAACUUACGCUAAUACCGUAUACGACCUACGGGUGAAAGCAGGGGAUCUUCGGACCUUGCGCGAUUGAAUGAGCCGAUGUCGGAUUAGCUAGUUGGCGGGGUAAAGGCCCACCAAGGCGACGAUCCGUAGCUGGUCUGAGAGGAUGAUCAGCCACACUGGAACUGAGACACGGUCCAGACUCCUACGGGAGGCAGCAGUGGGGAAUAUUGGACAAUGGGCGCAAGCCUGAUCCAGCCAUACCGCGUGGGUGAAGAAGGCCUUCGGGUUGUAAAGCCCUUUUGUUGGGAAAGAAAAGCAGCAGGUUAAUACCCCGCUGUUCUGACGGUACCCAAAGAAUAAGCACCGGCUAACUUCGU
RNAcentral lists this ribosomal RNA (491 nucleotides) under uncultured bacterium. Its description in RNAcentral is "partial 16S ribosomal RNA". It matches the Rfam family "Bacterial small subunit ribosomal RNA", at positions 29 to 506 of the family's 1533-position model. The record is from RNAcentral.